RNAcentral lists this ribosomal RNA (497 nucleotides) under uncultured bacterium. RNAcentral describes it as "partial 16S ribosomal RNA". It matches the Rfam family "Bacterial small subunit ribosomal RNA", at positions 28 to 507 of the family's 1533-position model. The record is from RNAcentral.
GAUGAACGCUGGCGGCGUGCCUAAUACAUGCAAGUCGAGCGAACGGACGAGAAGCUUGCUUCUCUGAUGUUAGCGGCGGACGGGUGAGUAACACGUGGAUAACCUACCUAUAAGACUGGGAUAACUUCGGGAAACCGGAGCUAAUACCGGAUAAUAUUUUGAACCGCAUGGUUCAAAAUUGAAAGACGGUCUUGCUGUCUCUUAUAGAUUGAUCCGCUCUGCAUUAGCUAGUUGGUAAGGUAACGGCUUACCAAGGCAACGAUGCAUAGCCGACCUGAGAGGGGGAUCGGCCACACGGGAACUGAGACACGGUCCAGACUACGACGGGAGGCAGCAGUAGGGAAUCUUCCGAAAUGGGCGAAAGCAUGACGGAGCAACGCCGCGUGAGUGAUGAAGGUCUUCGGAUCGUAAAACUCUGUUAUGAGGGAAGAACAUAUGUGUAAGUAAAUGUGCACAGCUUGACGGUAACUAAUCAGAAAGCCACGGCUAACUACGUG